AGCUUCAGCAAUGAUGAAAAUGACAAUGACUUCGACUCAGUGGAGAAGGAAUUCAGCAAUACAUGCAACUCCUUUUGAUACAAGGGUGGUGGGAAAGAAAAUGUCGCAAACCUCCAAACUUCACAAGAGUCACAGAGAGCAUCUUCACCCCUGACGAAAAGUGGUACGUUCUCAUCGGUUUAUCUUCUGGGAGCCAUCAAGGAGUCGGAUAACUCACAAGCAAACAGACACAAAUCCUAUCAGGUAUGAGAAAUUGACCCAUAGGGGGUUCCCAAUAUUUUGCUGCGGCGAACAAGUCAGGUAAGUGAACCAACACUAGUCACCUAACACUAACCCCAAAUCUAAAAUCAGGAGAGAACAGUCAUGCAUGAAGCAACGUUGUAAAGUCGUGCGCAAACAAGUGAAAGAACAACAAAGCCAUGAACUCGUUUUUUUACGGCAGCGUUACGCAAACGUUUGCUAAAAGGGGCUACUGUUCCUCAUCAAACUGCAUCUGAACAGAGGUUGACUGGAUCUGUUUCAGGGUCGUGCUGAGUCCAUCGUCAAACAUUUUGUGACUAGUUAGCAUUCUUUGUGUCAGACAAGCGCAGGUUAACCAAAACAAACAAAUUAUUUAUCGUUUUAGUGUAAAUGCUGCUGAUACUGAACAUAUUAUUUCUCCUUACUUAAGUAUUGGGCCACUUAAAAUCGUUGAUGUGACAUCCCUGCAUCAAUGAAGUUCUUGAUGUUUUAAAACAAAAUGAAAAUAUUAUGCAAUCAAGAGAAACAUUUAAAAACAAAGCUAUUGACACCCCACCUAAAAAGAAACAUUUUUUCAGCCAAAAAUUACAUAUCUUAAUAAUAAUAGAAGAUAUUCCUUUAUUUGUCCCACAUGGGGAAAUUCCAAUUGACAUAUUGCGUAAGAUUUAUGGCACUGUCAUACAGAGUGACAAAAACAGAUGAGAAGUCCUGUAAUUGGCGAGAAAGAAAAUGACUUGCAUCUCAAAUAAGAGAAGUGAGCAAAGCCUCUAAAUGAUGAGCCCGUGCCCCCGUUCAAUCAUGACGCUGACAAAUGACUGAUCAAUGCUUGGAUUUUUAUUCAUACUCUACGGUAUACUAACAGCACAACAUUCAGAAUUUUAAGUAUACUAGGUGCUAUUCUACCCAAUUGCAACUCAAAUUUGAUUAGAGUUGAGAAAAUCCAAAUUAGGAAACUUCAGCAGGGGCUGCUGUUUUGGUUAGCAAUUGAGUUCAAAUGGUCUGAUUAGUCAAGAACCUGGAAUCCAGAGAGAAAGAGAGAGAGAGAAAUUGGGUGAGUGUUUUAGUGCACUGACCAUGGAGACCUUCCUCAGGACAGCGCAAGGGGUUGUGUGACCCGCAUUCACCUCUGACCCUCAGCUGGUCAAACUCUAACCCUAAGACAGAUGGAUAACGCACUGGCCGCUUUAUCUCCUCCUGACCACACGCUCGGCCGUAGCCUUUGCUUUCACCUCUCCUUGCCCCCUUGAUUGCAUCCAUCCUCGUCCUCAAUAUGGACCACAACAUUAGGUACACCUGCCAGAAGAUGCAGGCCUGUCAAACAAAGGGGUUGAGAUUUUAGAAACAGCUUUUGGGAUGAUUCAGUGUUAACCACAAUUCAAUAAAAGAAAACAUAUUGUUACAUUUUUCUUGGGAAAGGAACCAGUAUCGGAAAUGGAAACCACACACACUAUAAGUCAGUAUAGAGUCAUGUGACAUCUCCAAGCCAAUCACUGGUGCGUCUUUGAGCAUUAUCAUAGGAAAAUAUGGAAGUGUGAUCUAAAAAGAAUCAUGAUAAAUCUUUUUCAAUACAUAUUUUCACAUUUUUAAUACUAUUGUGAUCAUUUUCAGAUAUGUGCAAACUGUAACUUUUGGGUGAAUAAUGACAGUAAUAUACUUGUUUGUAUUUUUCAUUUUAUUUUAGAAAGUGAACUAUUUGCUUCAUUCAACGAUGUUAUUAUUAAUAUUGUUAUGUUUGUGUGUUGUGGGGGUGACUUGUUUUCAUGCAUUUGGUCCACAGGCUUUAGGUUUGACACCUGCAUGUAAAUUUUGAUAUUUGAAUAAUUCUCCUGUUAAAGUCAUCAAAUUGAGGUUAAUUGUGCUUGCAUCAGCUGUAUAUAUAAUAUUAUUAUAGUCUAAAAAAAAAAAUCGUUUGUUUACUUUGUCAUGCACCACGGCAAGCUAUACCAUAUACCUCACUUUUAAAGACAAGGUUUUGACUCUUUUGAACCUUUUAUGAGCAUCAUUAGUUUUUACACGUGCAUAGUCGUGUUGCAGCAGCCUCUCUAUAUCCAAAAGGGAGGCUGACGCUGCAAGGCGGAUCGAACCUUUCGAUUGAUACUGAAAAAUUUGCAUAUAGUGAUUCUCUUUGAGCGCGGCGCGGAUCCAUAACGAGAGCGGCCGGCUAUUCAAAUGCAAGCACGCCCGGAGAGAAGCACCAGACGCCGGGACAGGAAAACCUCAAGCUAUUUGCCUUUUUUUCUGCUUUUUCUGGAUCUUUUUUCAACGACUACCACGCCAUGGAUGCUGAUUGUUUUAUCCCGCGAUAGGAUGGCUGCAACGUGGACAAAAAUGCCGUAAUGGGGAAACACGCAGGACGUGGAAUGAGCAGAGGGUGGUGGGAAAAUGAGGAUUUUCUUUUCUGAAUGAUGACAUGCCGCACGGAGAGCUGCGUGACACAUUCUGGCUAUGCGGUAAAUUCUGGCUUGUCUGUGUGUGCGUGAGAGUUGUUGAACGUGAGUGUGUGUGGGCUCGGGUGGUGCGUUUACGUGUCCUAGCGAGACCACUUGAAAGCAAGAAGACAAGACCUCACUUGCCUUGUAUCCAUCCGCACGUGAACUUGAACGCACCACAGCCCGAUGAGUUAGUGCCGCACUGGUCAGCCAUCCCCGCCCGUUAAACAUAUUUGUUUUCAUUUUGUUUUUGAGAGUGAAAAAUUCGCUUCAUUCAAUGCCCUAAUUCUUCGUAUUAUUAUGUUCCCGUGAGCGCUAGUCACUUAUUGAUUUUUCCUCCGUUUAAGGCAGCCAAUAUGGAGAAUAAAAGUGCUCAUACAGGACGAAGACGAAACAUUAGGUACACUUAUGCCAUACAUCUAAAUAAAAUACAACUAUUUUUUUACGAUGACUAUAUGGCCAUGCAUAUAUUUUUAAACAUUGAAAGCCACUUCAUUUGGUACACGCUGCAAGAUCCAGUAAUGUAUCAACAUGAUUUUGCAUUUGACUCAAUUAUUGAUUGAUUGUCUGCAAGGGAGAACACGUGAUGAUGACAGUGGUCGAUGCUAAAAAGUGUAAAGAUGAUGUUUAUUCGUUUUAGCUUUACAUUUAAUCUAUAAUCGGUUCAUUGUACCAUGAAAUGUACACCAAACGGGAGAUUAUUUUUUAUUAGGAUAGUCACAAAUUUAGUCAGUUAAAUACGAUUCAUGCAAUAAAUGCCACGUGGUUUAAUCCCGCUCCCGUAUUUCAUAUUUUAAAGUAGCAUUUGCUAUCAAAAUAUUAGGGACAGCUCCCUGUAUGAUCCUGUUUAUAUAUACAAGGCACGAUUAAGCAUCGCGUUAGAUUAAUGCUUCAGAAUUGAACACAGGGGAGAAUUUUGUGUGUCGGUUAAAAGUGUGCCUAGUGUCCGGUGGGUGUACAAAUCAUUGAAUGUUGUCAGUUUUUGAUAAAUAAUUCAAACCCCAUUUUUUAGCGUAUUUAAAUCAUUUGAUUUGCAGUUUUAAAAAAGAAAAUGCCGGAAUGAACGCAAUUAAAACCGUGGUAAAUGAAGCGUGUUUUGCGCUCAAUAAAUUUGGGUUGAUGGUUGAUAAUCGUUAACAAGGUUUGUCGCCCCAAGUGUGUGGCCUAAUAGUUGGAGUCAGUGACAGCAUGCAGCGGCAUAUGUAGCCCCUUAAUGUCAAACGAAGCCAUGUUAAUUGCACAUGAGAGUGCACGAAUGCAAGCAAGUGACGCGGAAUAACGUCGCACACGCCUGCAUGCAAGCAGGAGGCAAUUACUUGACUUUCCCGUGAGCAAGGCAGCACUCUGUCAUCUAAUUGUUGAAGGAUUGAGAACUAAUUAUUUGCGAUUAAAUACAAAUUUUCGUUCAUUAUACUUU
Molecule: long non-coding RNA, 4086 nt
Organism: Syngnathus typhle (broad-nosed pipefish)
Lineage: Eukaryota; Metazoa; Chordata; Actinopteri; Syngnathiformes; Syngnathidae
Exons: 3
Source: RefSeq, a predicted model, not a curated record